This 73-nucleotide transfer RNA is filed under the name Dierogekko poumensis. RNAcentral's name for it is "tRNA-Trp". It matches the Rfam family "tRNA". Rfam says of the family: Transfer RNA (tRNA) molecules are approximately 80 nucleotides in length. Lineage: Eukaryota; Metazoa; Chordata; Lepidosauria; Squamata; Diplodactylidae. The record is from RNAcentral.
AGAAACUUAGGUUAAACAAUAAACCAAGAGCCUUCAAAGCCCCAAAUAGGGAUUAAAAGCCCCCUAGUUUCUG